Molecule: ribosomal RNA, 484 nt
Filed under: uncultured bacterium
Lineage: Bacteria
Description: partial 16S ribosomal RNA
Rfam family: Bacterial small subunit ribosomal RNA
Source: RNAcentral
AUUGAACGCUGGCGGCAGGCCUAACACAUGCAAGUCGAGCGGAUGAAGGGAGCUUGCUCCUGGAUUCAGCGGCGGACGGGUGAGUAAUGCCUAGGAAUCUGCCUGGUAGUGGGGGAUAACGUCCGGAAACGGGCGCUAAUACCGCAUACGUCCUGAGGGAGACAGUGGGGGAUCUUCGGACCUCACGCUAUCAGAUUAGCCUAGGUCGGAUUAGCUAGUUGGUGGGGUAAAGGCCUACCAAGGCGACGAUCCGUAACUGGUCUGAGAGGAUGAUCAGUCAGCCGGGAACUGAGACACGGCCGCGACUCCUGCGGGAGGCAGCAGUGGGGAAUCUUGGACAAUGGGCGAAAGCCUGAUCCAGCCAUGCCGGGUGUGUGAAGAAGGUCUUCGGAUUGUAAAGCACUUUAAGUUGGGAGGAAGGGAAAUAAGUUAAUACCUUGCUGUUUUGACGGUACCAACAGAAUAAGCACCGGCUAACUUCGUG